CAUAAUAUUGUAAUGAUUUCCGUAGGUGGAACCUGCGGAAGGAUCAUUA
Molecule: ribosomal RNA, 49 nt
Filed under: Jahnula sp. SS3792
Lineage: Eukaryota; Fungi; Ascomycota; Dothideomycetes; Jahnulales; Aliquandostipitaceae
Description: partial 18S ribosomal RNA
Source: RNAcentral